This 1968-nucleotide long non-coding RNA is filed under the name Nicotiana tabacum (common tobacco). RNAcentral describes it as "long non-coding RNA (NTAB_LNC014402)". The record is from RNAcentral. Lineage: Eukaryota; Viridiplantae; Streptophyta; Magnoliopsida; Solanales; Solanaceae.
GCAUGCAGUAUACCACUUGUUAAAAAAGAUUCAAAAAAUUCACAUUAAUUGAUAGAAUAAUAACAUGAUACAAAAGGGAACUGGACCAAAACCUCCGCAAUUAAAUUCUUUAUUACAUACGUGAAAAAUAUCAAACCAACAAUGAAUUAUUAAAAACAAGACAUCAAUUACAGGUAAUUAAUUAAAAUAUAUAUAUAUAUUCAAGGCUUUGGGUUAUGCUGGUUGUUUGCUCGUGGAGCAGAAUAGUCUAACGCCAAAUCCAUUCUUCUUGCUACAGAUACUUCUCCAAUAAAGAAGUCUGCAUCAUCCACUGCUAUGUCCGUCGCAUCCUAUAUACACAAGAGAGAAGCCAAUUACUCAAGUAUUUUAGGGAGAACCAAAGUCAAUUAUCUCGAAAUUACAUGUACGUAUAAUAUAAUCCAAUGUCUUUGACUUGAAAUAUAUAUAACCAAAGGACUUCUUUGAACCAAAUAAGAGUUACUAUAUUAUUAAUAGCCGAUUAGAAAGGCUCACGUCCUUCAUAUCAUUCUCUUUUUUCUCUCUUGCUUCUAAGCAUGAAAUAAGAAGUUCUGCAAGGACUUGGUGUGUGAUANNNNNNNNNNNNNNNNNNNNUUGAGGGAAUAUGUGUGUGUUCUUAGGAUCUUAAAUUGAAUUUCAUAAAUAAAUUGAUAAUCGAGCAUCAAUUUCAAAACUAAUAGUGACAACUAGAAUUAAUUAGGAAUUUUAGGAACUAUCCGUAAUUUCAUUCCGUUCCCUAGUCAAUAGGAAAUUAGUGUCUACCUAGUUUCAACACGUAAUGGAAUUUGGUAAUGUUUGAUUAAUAAUAUUCAUAUACUGGUAAAAAAAAAAAUGUACUAACGCAAAAGUAAUAUAACAUCUUCAGAAAAAGUAAGAAAACAGUAUAACAUCUACAAGCCACAUGUUGCGUUCACCUUUUUCUCAAAUUCUUUUUAGUGUUUGAUUUGAAGAAAUAAACAAAGGAAACAAAAAAUAUUAAAGUAAAGGAGAAGGAUUCCUUUUGACUUUUAUUUAUCUUGCGAUUAGUAAAAAGAAAACAAGAAAAUUGAUGAGAGUAAUCAUUGUAAUCAUUUCUCUCAUUCCUAUCGAGUUUAAUUCCUAACAGAAAAUGCAUUUAUUUCCCUAAUUUUUCCUUUUCUAUCUCGAUUCAAAAUUAAAUCCCUUCAAAAAAUGUAAAACUCUAAUUAAAAAAUGCAAGGCUAGGGGCUCCUACACCGCUUCAAGGAUCUCUUUCUGUUUUUCCAUUUACAUUAAUGUUGUUUAAAUAAAACAUAAACAUACCAAAUUAAUUUGAGAAAAUUAAGAUUCAAAUGACAUUUUCUUUUUUGGCAUAAAGAUCUUACAUAAAAUGUACGAACUAGCCGUAUAUAUAAAGAAGGAGAGAGGGGAAGAGGACGAGAACCUGGUCCUGUAAGUCGUUGAGAAAUGGUUCAUCAAUGGAUGCCAUGAGAAUUCCUGUUAGUACAGAAAAUUAAAAAGACAAUUUGUUAGAUUAGUUUUAAUUAGUGUAAAUUGAAUAUACAUAAAAUCAUGAGCAAAUUCUUGGUCGGAAUAUGUGAUUUGCUUGCACGCUUUCUAUAUUUGAUUCAUACUCAACCAAUCCUUCAAACCCAAAAUCUAGAAUCAGUGAAUUCAGAAUGAUCGGUACCAUCUUUGAUAUAUAUUCACAUGAAAAAAUACAACUUUUUUUAGAAACAGACUAAAAAAUAUAUAUAUUAUCAUAUAAAACGUAACAGAUAAAGUAUAUACUGACUUGAUGAUGAAGCUGUUGAAAUGAUAGUAGCAAAGAUGAACAGCAUAAGAAGCUGGAAAACAACUUUUUGCACCAUUUUGAUGAGGUAAUUUAGCAGAUGGGACAAGUUUUCAGAAGAUUUGAGUUUAGGUGAUUAAUUAUAUGGAUUUGUCCAGUUUAUGACAAGAUUAUAUAGAGUUAGAAUGGUGUUAGGAAAU